CCUACGGGUGGCAGCAGUGGGGAAUAUUGCACAAUGGGGGAAACCCUGAUGCAGCGACGCCGCGUGAGUGAAGAAGUAUUUCGGUACGUAAAGCUCUAUCAGCAGGGAAGAAAAUGACGGUACCUGACUAAGAAGCCCCGGCUAACUACGUGCCAGCAGCCGCGGUAAUACGUAGGGGGCAAGCGUUAUCCGGCUUUACUGGGUGUAAAGGGAGCGUAGACGGCAGCGCAAGUCUGGAGUGAAAUCCCAUGGCUUAACCAUGGAACUGCGUUGGAAACUGGGCAGCUAGAGUGCAGGAGAGGUAAGCGGAAUUCCUAGUGUAGCGGUGAAAUGCGUAGAUAUUAGGAGGAACACCAGUGGCGAAGGCGGCUUACUGGACUGUAACUGACGUUGAGGCUCGAAAGCGUGGGGAGCAAACAGGAUUAGAUACCCGUGUAGUC
This 440-nucleotide ribosomal RNA is filed under the name uncultured bacterium. RNAcentral's name for it is "partial 16S ribosomal RNA". It matches the Rfam family "Bacterial small subunit ribosomal RNA", at positions 338 to 795 of the family's 1533-position model. The record is from RNAcentral.